AUUGAACGCUGGCGGCAGGCCUAACACAUGCAAGUCGAGCGGAUGAAGGGAGCUUGCUCCUGGCUUCAGCGGCGGACGGGUGAGUAAUGCCUAGGCAUCUGCCUGUUCGUGGGGGUUGACGUUCGGACACGGGCGCUAAUACCGCAUCCGCACAGGGGGUGCAGGUGGGGGAUGUUGGGCCCUCACGCUAGCGCAUGACCCUAGGUCGGAUUAGCUAGUUGGUGGGGUAAAGGCCUACCAAGGCGACGAUCCGUAACUGGUCUGAGAGGAUGAUCAGUCACACUGGAACUGAGACACGGUCCAGACUCCUACGGGAGGCAGCAGUGGGGAAUAUUGGACAAUGGGCGAAAGCCUGAUCCAGCCAUGCCGCGUGUGUGAAGAAGGUCUUCGGAUUGUAAAGCACUUUAGGUAGGGAGGAAGGGGAGUAAGUGAAUACCUUGCUGGUUUGACGGUACCAGCAGAAGAAGCACCGGCUAACUUCGUG
RNAcentral lists this ribosomal RNA (484 nucleotides) under uncultured bacterium. RNAcentral describes it as "partial 16S ribosomal RNA". It matches the Rfam family "Bacterial small subunit ribosomal RNA", at positions 30 to 507 of the family's 1533-position model. The record is from RNAcentral.